AACGAACGCUGGCGGCAUGCCUAACACAUGCAAGUCGAACGAGACCUUCGGGUCUAGUGGCGCACGGGUGCGUAACGCGUGGGAAUCUGCCCCUUGGUUCGGAAUAACAGUUAGAAAUGACUGCUAAUACCGGAUGAUGACGAAAGUCCAAAGAUUUAUCGCCGAGGGAUGAGCCCGCGUAGGAUUAGCUAGUUGGUGAGGUAAGGGCUCACCAAGGCGACGAUCCUUAGCUGGUCUGAGAGGAUGAUCAGCCACACUGGGACUGAGACACGGCCCAGACUCCUACGGGAGGCAGCAGUGGGGAAUAUUGGACAAUGGGCGAAAGCCUGAUCCAGCAAUGCCGCGUGAGUGAUGAAGGCCUUAGGGUCGUAAAGCUCUUUACCAGGGAUGAUAAUGACAGUACCUGGAGAAUAAGCUCCGGCUAACUCCGUGCCAGCAGCCGCGGU
RNAcentral lists this ribosomal RNA (446 nucleotides) under uncultured bacterium. RNAcentral's name for it is "bacterial SSU rRNA". It matches the Rfam family "Bacterial small subunit ribosomal RNA", at positions 29 to 521 of the family's 1533-position model. The record is from RNAcentral.